GCAGCNUGGUGCUGCCAUGGGGCGUGUAUGAAGAAGGUCUUCGGGUUGUAAAGUACUUUCCNNUUGGAGGAAGGUGUUGGGACAGNACCGGGCGAUUGACGUUUCUGGCCGAAGAAGCCCCGGCUAACUCCGUGCCAGCGGCCGCGGANGUACGGAGGGUGCCCUCNUUANUUGGAAUUUCUGGGCGUAAAGUGAACGCAGGCGGGCUGUCAUGUCUGAUGUGAAAUCCCCGGGCUCAACCUGGGAACUGUAUUCCCAACUGGCAUGAUAUAGUCUCGUCGACGGGGGUCGAAUUGGAGGUGUAGCGGNGAAAUGUUGAGAGACCUGGAGGAAUACCGGUGGCGAAGGCGGCCCCCUGGACAAAGACUGACGCUUAGGCGCGAAAGCGUGGGGAGCAAACAGGAUUAGAUACCCUGGUAGUCCACGCCGUAAACGAUGUCGACUUGGAGGUUGUUCCCUUGAGGAGUGGCUUCCGGAGCUAACGCGUGAAGUUCACCGCCUGGGGAGUACGGCCGCAAGGUUAAAACUCAAAUGAAUUGACCGGGGCCCGCACAAGCGGUGGAGCAUGUGGUUUAAUUCGAUGCGACGCGAAGAACCUUACCUACUCUUGACAUCCACAGAACUUAGCAAAGAUGCUUUUGGUGCCUUCNGGAACUCUGAGACAGGUGCUGCAUGGCUGUCGUCAGCUCGUGUUGUGAAAAUGUUGGGUUAAGUCCCGCAACGAGCGCAACCCUUAUCCUUUGUUGCCAGCGGUUCAUCCCGGGNACUCAAAAGAUACCNGCCAUUGAUUAAAAAUGGNGGAAGGGGGGGAAUAACAUUCAAUCAUCCUGGUCUCUUUCGGAUAAGNGCUUC
Molecule: ribosomal RNA, 852 nt
Filed under: Kluyvera sp.
Lineage: Bacteria; Pseudomonadati; Pseudomonadota; Gammaproteobacteria; Enterobacterales; Enterobacteriaceae
Description: bacterial SSU rRNA
Rfam family: Bacterial small subunit ribosomal RNA
Source: RNAcentral